AGAACAAGUACCGUUCGAAUAGGGCGGUACUUGACGGUACCUAACCAGAAAGCCACGGCUAACUACGUGCCAGCAGCCGCGGUAAUACGUAGGUGGCAAGCGUUGUCCGGAAUUAUUGGGCGUAAAGCGCGCGCAGGCGGUUUCUUAAGUCUGAUGUGAAAGCCCCCGGCUCAACCGGGGAGGGUCAUUGGAAACUGGGGAACUUGAGUGCAGAAGAGGAGAGUGGAUUCCACGUGUAGCGGUGAAUGCGUAGAGAUGUGGAGGAACACCAGUGGCGAAGGCGACUCUCUGGUCUGUAACUGACGCUGAGGCGCGAAAGCGUGGGGAGCGAACAGGAUUAGAUACCCUGGUAGUCCACGCCGUAAACGAUGAGUGCUAAGUGUUAGAGUUUUUCGCCCUUUAGUGCUGCAGCAAACGCAUUAAGCACUCCGCCUGGGGAGUACG
Molecule: ribosomal RNA, 444 nt
Filed under: Bacillus sp. PSA2
Lineage: Bacteria; Bacillati; Bacillota; Bacilli; Caryophanales; Bacillaceae
Description: bacterial SSU rRNA
Rfam family: Bacterial small subunit ribosomal RNA
Source: RNAcentral